This 450-nucleotide ribosomal RNA is filed under the name Bacillus thuringiensis. Its description in RNAcentral is "bacterial SSU rRNA". It matches the Rfam family "Bacterial small subunit ribosomal RNA", at positions 900 to 1351 of the family's 1533-position model. The record is from RNAcentral. Lineage: Bacteria; Bacillati; Bacillota; Bacilli; Caryophanales; Bacillaceae.
CUCAAAGGAAUUGACGGGGGCCCGCACAAGCGGUGGAGCAUGUGGUUUAAUUCGAAGCAACGCGAAGAACCUUACCAGGUCUUGACAUCCUCUGAAAACCCUAGAGAUAGGGCUUCUCCUUCGGGAGCAGAGUGACAGGUGGUGCAUGGUUGUCGUCAGCUCGUGUCGUGAGAUGUUGGGUUAAGUCCCGCAACGAGCGCAACCCUUGAUCUUAGUUGCCAUCAUUAAGUUGGGCACUCUAAGGUGACUGCCGGUGACAAACCGGAGGAAGGUGGGGAUGACGUCAAAUCAUCAUGCCCCUUAUGACCUGGGCUACACACGUGCUACAAUGGACGGUACAAAGAGCUGCAAGACCGCGAGGUGGAGCUAAUCUCAUAAAACCGUUCUCAGUUCGGAUUGUAGGCUGCAACUCGCCUACAUGAAGCUGGAAUCGCUAGUAAUCGCGGAUCA